GUACUUGCCUGUUUUCUUUGAUGUUAAUGUGAAGUCAGGACCUUCACCUCCCAUAAGACAAAUACAGAAACAGUGAGGUCGAUCAGAAGACACAUAGUUUAAAGGAAAAUAUUAAUUGGACAACAUAGCAAAAAAAAAAAAAAAGAAAGAUUUCCUCUUCACAGACAUUGUGCUUCUAACCCUCCAGGCUUUAUCGUCAUGCCUCAGCUGCCUUUUCACCCUGGAACAUGUCUUCAUCAUGCUGGCCCCCUUCUCUCACUGAUGAAUUCCUUUCAAAUGGCCUUUUUUUUGUGGAUAAGCCCAAUGAGGGUUUAUUUCAAAAUUCCACUCUAAGUAUGCCCAUUUCCUUUUAAAGAAUAUUUGUGACAUUGGAGUUAU
This is a long non-coding RNA of Vombatus ursinus (common wombat), 378 nucleotides long. RefSeq lists it as uncharacterized. Lineage: Eukaryota; Metazoa; Chordata; Mammalia; Diprotodontia; Vombatidae. The transcript has 3 exons. The record is from RefSeq and is a predicted model, not a curated record.